RNAcentral lists this transfer RNA (73 nucleotides) under Anopheles gambiae (African malaria mosquito). RNAcentral describes it as "tRNA tRNA-Val". It matches the Rfam family "tRNA". Rfam says of the family: Transfer RNA (tRNA) molecules are approximately 80 nucleotides in length. Lineage: Eukaryota; Metazoa; Arthropoda; Insecta; Diptera; Culicidae. The record is from Rfam by way of RNAcentral. RNAcentral also lists the same sequence under 1 other name.
GUUUCCGUGGUGUAGUGGUUAUCACAUCAGUCUAACACGCGGAAGGCCCCCGGUUCAAUCCCGGGCGGAAACA